GGUUUGGCACCUCGAUGUCGGCUCGUCGCAUCCUGGGGCUGGAGUAGGUCCCAAGGGUUGGGCUGUUCGCCCAUUAAAGCGGUACGCGAGCUGGGUUUAGAACGUCGUGAGACAGUUCGGUCCCUAUCCGCCGCGCGCGUAAGAGACUUGCGAAGAGCUGUCCCUAGUACGAGAGGACCGGGACGGACGAACCUCUGGUGUGCCAGUUGUACCGCCAGGUGCACUGCUGGUUGGCUACGUUCGGCAGGGAUAACCGCUGAAAGCAUCUAAGCGGGAAGCUCGCUUCAAGAUGAGGUCUCUCACCGGGACAACCGGGUAAGGCCCCCGCCCAGACCAGCGGGUUGAUAGGCCGGAAGUGGAAGCGCAGCAAUGCGUGGAGCUGACCGGUACUAAUAGGCCGAGGGCUUGACCAU
Molecule: ribosomal RNA, 413 nt
Filed under: Streptomyces turgidiscabies
Lineage: Bacteria; Bacillati; Actinomycetota; Actinomycetes; Kitasatosporales; Streptomycetaceae
Description: partial 23S ribosomal RNA
Rfam family: Bacterial large subunit ribosomal RNA
Source: RNAcentral